Molecule: long non-coding RNA, 924 nt
Filed under: Gallus gallus (chicken)
Lineage: Eukaryota; Metazoa; Chordata; Aves; Galliformes; Phasianidae
Description: long non-coding RNA NONGGAT007929
Source: RNAcentral
CUGAUGGCUGCUGAACAUCUCCGUCUCCAUGCCAAAUAUCUCCAUCCCAACACUGAAUGUGUCCUUCCCAGUGUUGAACUUCUCUAUCCCAAUGUUGAACAUCUCAACACUGAAUAUCUCCAUCCCAUUGCUGAACGUCUCCACCCCACUGCUGAACAUUUCCAUCCCAGUGUUGAAUAUCUCCACCCCAGUGCUGAACAUCGCCAUCCCAGUGCUGCGUAUCUCCAUCCCAACACUGAACAUCUCCACCCCCAGUGCUGAACUUUUCCAUCCCAAUGCUGAACAUCUCCAUCCCAGUUCUGAACAUCUCCAUCCCAAUACUGAACAUCUCCAUCCCAGUGCUGAACAUCUCUAUGCCAACGCUGAAUAUUUCCAUCUCCAUUUUCUGAGAAACACCCUGCAAGAGUCUCAGGAAGGCUGAGGACCUCAUGGUGACACCCAACAAGAAUGGACACUUCCCCCAGAGAUGUUCCCUGUUAGAAACAUAUGCCCAGUGCAGAGCCCUGGGGUAAAGCCAAGGCUGUGAUGCUCCCUGUUUUCCUCCCCGCGCCUGGCAAAGCUGUGCCCUCCAUCGGCCAAACAAUCCUGCCCUGCCCCCGUGCCCUCUGGUUGCAGCAAGGCUGUAGCAAAUCCGAGCAGGGGGACAACACAGUUCAACACAGUGUAAAACAGCAGUCGGAGCACGGCGGUGCAGAGGCAGUGCCCAAAGCAAACACACUGCUGCGAAAAAAACCUUCCCAGCUUAGUGCGCCCUUCUAAAAACACAGAGUGACUUCAGAAAAAUGUGAGAAAACAUGAGCUGCUCACCCCCAGAGGGAAAACAGAGCACAGGAGCCAUAGGAUGGAGCCUGCUGCCUGCAGCCGUGUCCCCAUGGCAGAGGAUCCUGGGGCCAUCGCGGUGCCUGGGAAGGGCUGAGCUCCCUU